RNAcentral lists this ribosomal RNA (599 nucleotides) under uncultured archaeon. RNAcentral's name for it is "bacterial SSU rRNA". It matches the Rfam family "Archaeal small subunit ribosomal RNA", at positions 326 to 879 of the family's 1478-position model. The record is from RNAcentral.
CGGGGUGCAGCAGGCGCGAAACCUCUGCAAUGCGCGAAAGCGUGACAGGGGAAGUCUGAGUGGCGGAAACUUAGUUUCCGUCUUUUGCCAAGUGUAAACAGCUUGGAGAAUAAGGGUGUGGGCAAUCACAUCCUUAGGGUGUUUUUGACAGUCCUAGGAAUUGGCCUAUGACUGGUGGCAGCCGCCGCGGUAACACCAGCGCCUCGAGUGGUACCCACGAAUAUUGGGCCUAAAGCGUCCGUAGCUGGACCUCUAAGUCCGCUGUGAAAUGUUGGGGCUCAACCCUAACGCGUGCAGUGGAUACUGUUGGUCUUGGGAACGGGGGAGGGUCGGGGUACUUCCAGGGUAGGGGUAAAAUCCGUUGAGCCUGGAAGGACCACCAGUGGCGAAGGCGCCGAUCCAAAACGUGUCCGACGGUGAGGGACGAAAGCUGGGGGAGCGAACGGGAUUAGAUACCCCGGUAGUCCCAGCUGUAAAUGAUGCAGACUGUGGUGUUACACAUGAGUAAUCAUGUGUAGUGCUGUAGCGUAGGUGUUAAGUCUGCCGCCUGGGGAGUACGAUCGCAAGAUUUAAACUUAAAGGAAUUGGCGGGGGAGCAC